AGCCUUUAUUCUCUCCAUCUUCCUCGUUCUCAGAUCUCAUCAUCUCUCUCCGAUUUUCUCUCUCAAAAAUGGAUAGCUAGCUAGGAUAUUAAGUUAAAUACCCAGACACCCAGUCAUCUCGCGACAAAAGCAGCAUCUUACGCGGAGAGCUUUGCCGCUGUUGACAGAACUUGCAAGAUCAGAGGAAAAGCUUGCUGGUGUUCGGAUUGAUGGGAAAUGCAAAUACAAGGACUCAGAUGUCGUUUUAAUACUGGGAUUGGGAUCCAUCAAUUGUUGCCGGAUGGUACCCAGCUAAUUGUUCAUGGAUCUUAGAUCUACAGUACAGUGCUUAAAGUUAGAAGCUGUGCAAUGUAAUGGAAUUGAUGACCGCAGCAAACAAAUCAAGAUUCAUAAAGAGAUGAGUAGCUGAAACUGGAUCUCAUUUGCAACAAUACUUGUGUAUGAUUUACUGCAAUAAGAUCCCAGAUUUGCAAAAUCACAAUGAAGAGUGAUGAAGGAAAGAUCCCAGAUUUGCGAAAUCUCAAUGUAGGACAAAGAAGGAAAGAUCCCAGAUUUGCAAAAUUUCAAUGAAGAAGUGAAGAACGAUGAAGGAAAGAUCCCAGAUUUGCAAAAUCUCAAUAAAGGACCUAAAACAACAUGAAAAUAAAUGGAGGACCUAAAAAUAAAUAUCUAAAUAAUUCAAUAAAUUGAUGAAUUAUAUUUAAUCUGGAAAUUACGAAAAUUCAAUGGUUUGUAAAUUUGGAAAUUAAUAUAAUUGAUUCCUAUGGGACC
Rosa rugosa (rugosa rose) is the source of this 771-nucleotide long non-coding RNA. RefSeq lists it as uncharacterized. The transcript is spliced from 4 exons. NCBI's taxonomy places the organism in Eukaryota, Viridiplantae, Streptophyta, Magnoliopsida, Rosales, Rosaceae. The record is from RefSeq and is a predicted model, not a curated record.